ACCGAACAGUUCAAAUUAGGAAUUGUUUAUCAACCCUCAACAAAGGACACGACAAAAAAAACUUAUAAGUACCUAACUCGAAUGGCUUUGAAACAUCGUUAAUUUCAUCACAUUUUGACGUUUUGCCGGGCGCUUUCCAAUUUGAAGACUUUGUAUUUUAUUGUAUACUUUUUUUAAGGGAGCUGUGGCAAAACGCGAUGACUACCAACAGAGCUUUUGAAAUGAAGAGGUUGCAAUGAUUAUGGUAAUUUCGGUCAGUCGGCAAACACAGAGCCAUAAUAAUAAAAUUUAUACAUGUGCACUGUAAUGUCAAUACAACUAGAAAUAUUUUAAUGUUUCGUUGUGUUUCAUUAGCAUCCUCUUUAUAGAGGCGGCUACUUAAAUACCUGUAAAGGCUGUCUAUAGUAUUAGUUGCGUAGUUAUAAGCGGUGGCAUCAUGGGUGCGAUUUCAUUUCGUUUUAUUUGAAGUCCCGACCACGGGGAGCAGCAGACUGUAACGAGCGUUUCCGACGUUUCAAAUACUUUUGCAAUGAGUAUUAACGCUCUGUUUCACUCUCAACUGCAUUUCAUACAAUGAUAGCAAACAUUUGCU
Long non-coding RNA from Bombyx mori (domestic silkworm), 592 nucleotides. RefSeq lists it as uncharacterized. The transcript has 3 exons. The record is from RefSeq and is a predicted model, not a curated record. Lineage: Eukaryota; Metazoa; Arthropoda; Insecta; Lepidoptera; Bombycidae.